This 58-nucleotide small nucleolar RNA is filed under the name Pyrobaculum calidifontis JCM 11548. RNAcentral describes it as "Pyrobaculum sRNA 204". It matches the Rfam family "Pyrobaculum sRNA 204". From Rfam's summary of the family: Non canonical pseudouridylation guide sRNA features. Predicted to target 23S U2023 in Pyrobaculum. The record is from Rfam by way of RNAcentral. Lineage: Archaea; Thermoproteati; Thermoproteota; Thermoprotei; Thermoproteales; Thermoproteaceae.
GAGUGCCGCCGGAGUGCCGCAGAUGUGCGGGCCGAUGAAAGGCGGUUCCCCGGCUUUU